AGCGAACGCUGGCGGCAGGCUUAACACAUGCAAGUCGAGCGGGCACCUUCGGGUGUCAGCGGCAGACGGGUGAGUAACACGUGGGAACGUACCCUUCGGUUCGGAAUAACGCUGGGAAACUAGCGCUAAUACCGGAUACGCCCUUAUGGGGAAAGGUUUACUGCCGAAGGAUCGGCCCGCGUCUGAUUAGCUAGUUGGUGGGGUAACGGCCUACCAAGGCGACGAUCAGUAGCUGGUCUGAGAGGAUGAUCAGCCACACUGGGACUGAGACACGGCCCAGAAUCCUACGGGAGGCAGCAGUGGGGAAUAUUGGACAAUGGGCGCAAGCCUGAUCCAGCCAUGCCGGGUGAGUGAUGAAGGCCUUAGGGUUGUAAAGCUCUUUUGUCCGGGACGAUAAUGACGGUACCGGAAGAAUAAGCCCCGGCUAACUUCGUG
This 435-nucleotide ribosomal RNA is filed under the name uncultured bacterium. RNAcentral's name for it is "partial 16S ribosomal RNA". It matches the Rfam family "Bacterial small subunit ribosomal RNA", at positions 29 to 507 of the family's 1533-position model. The record is from RNAcentral.